RNAcentral lists this long non-coding RNA (339 nucleotides) under Mustela putorius furo (domestic ferret). Its description in RNAcentral is "lncRNA (ENSMPUG00000026757.1)". The record is from RNAcentral. Lineage: Eukaryota; Metazoa; Chordata; Mammalia; Carnivora; Mustelidae.
AGGAAAGCCUGCCACCUUCCUUUUUUCCAUGGGGAACAGCACCAGGCUGGGGAGAGAUGACAGACAUCACAGACGGCUUUUUAAAAAGAUUUUACCCAUUUAUUUGAGAAUGAGAGAAAGCACCAACCCAGGGCCGUGGAGCGGGGAUGAGGAGGGAACAAAGGGAGAAGGAGAAGCAGACACCCCACUGAGCAAGGAACACAGAGCUCCAUCCCAGGACCCCAGCCAGGAUCAUGACCUGAGCGGAAGGCAGAUGCUUAACUGACUGAGCCAACCAGGCACCCCUAUUUUUCUUCUUAGUUCUGUUCAUUAAACAUUUCUGGCUUUCUGUCUUCUGAG